RNAcentral lists this ribosomal RNA (570 nucleotides) under Streptococcus sp. oral taxon 065. RNAcentral's name for it is "bacterial SSU rRNA". It matches the Rfam family "Bacterial small subunit ribosomal RNA", at positions 385 to 946 of the family's 1533-position model. The record is from RNAcentral. Lineage: Bacteria; Bacillati; Bacillota; Bacilli; Lactobacillales; Streptococcaceae.
GACCGAGCAACGCCGCGUGAGUGAAGAAGGUUUUCGGAUCGUAAAGCUCUGUUGUAAGAGAAGAACGAGUGUGAGAGUGGAAAGUUCACACUGUGACGGUAACUUACCAGAAAGGGACGGCUAACUACGUGCCAGCAGCCGCGGUAAUACGUAGGUCCCGAGCGUUAUCCGGAUUUAUUGGGCGUAAAGCGAGCGCAGGCGGUUAGAUAAGUCUGAAGUUAAAGGCUGUGGCUUAACCAUAGUACGCUUUGGAAACUGUUUAACUUGAGUGCAGAAGGGGAGAGUGGAAUUCCAUGUGUAGCGGUGAAAUGCGUAGAUAUAUGGAGGAACACCGGUGGCGAAAGCGGCUCUCUGGUCUGUAACUGACGCUGAGGCUCGAAAGCGUGGGGAGCAAACAGGAUUAGAUACCCUGGUAGUCCACGCCGUAAACGAUGAGUGCUAGGUGUUGGGUCCUUUCCGGGACUCAGUGCCGCAGCUAACGCAUUAAGCACUCCGCCUGGGGAGUACGACCGCAAGGUUGAAACUCAAAGGAAUUGACGGGGGCCCGCACAAGCGGUGGAGCAUGUGGUU